AGAGUCUUCACCAUCCUGAGGGGUAUGGAUCCGGUAAAUAGUGACUGUUGAACUCAACCCCAGAAUGCCAAUCCACGAAACCUGGAAAACAUUGCUUCAGGUCUAAUGACAAUUAAUGCCUGUACAAUGUUCUCAAGUCUUGAUAUAUAUACUGAGAACAUAUAAUGUGCCAGGCAUUAUACCAAGUUUAAAAAUGAAAAGGAGUUCCAGACACCAGGCAAAGCACGAAGGCCAACUAGGAAGAUCCUACAGAAAACAGAGAGGAAUUUUUCCUUACAACAGAACAGAGAAACAAAAUGCAAGUUUUGGACAAUACCACCAAAGAAACAAUCCAGAGAGAGGAAGCAGUUUCAGUAAACCAACAUAUCUGAAAAAUUAAUUUGGACAUAAAAUCAAAUUUCCUACUUCAGUCUCAUUGUAAUCAUCUGGUUACUCCAGGGAGAUCUUAAACUUCCUCUGGAUAAUCAUUUACAAAGUGCUGAAUGUAAUCGGUGGAGCAUAAAAAGCCAGAUCCUGUACUCCUGAACGUCUUCCCUGGAAAACUUCUUCCUGGGAUGUGGGCCCCCAGGCAACACCAUCGAGUUGAAGGGUUCUAUAACCGAAGGGACUUCUGGACCAGUGAGCUCAGCUCUUUGCCUAAGAGGGAGAAAAGGGAGCUCCACAGUCAUAGCUGGUCCACCAUGGUGCUGGUGCGCUGUCUUGGCCUCCUUCUCACAUGCCAGUGCUCUUCCUAUCCUGACCUCCAUAGAGGGACCUUUUCUCCUUGGAACUACCUGAGGUUCAGGUAGGUCCCCCCAGCUGAGCAGAAUACUAAAUAAGGCCGCAAAGAUGAGGAUGAAAGCCUGCAGGUUCAGGAUGGUGGGAAAGAUGGCAUUGGAACAAACGGUAACAUCUAGCAAGCAGUUUGCAUCGACUCUGCACGACAACCAAAAUAUGCUGUGUUGUCCAAAUGAAAAUUCUCCAAAAUAAUGACAUCAAGAUCAAACCAAGAUAAAGAGCUGGCAUCAUUAUACUUGACAGGCAUAUACAGUACUUAUGCUGAAAUUGAAAUGAUCAAAACUAACCUCAUGGAAAAAUGUAAGCACCCAAAGGUUGUAAGAAAAGUCAUACAAAUCAAAUUUAUAAAGCAAAUAAAUCAAA
This 1140-nucleotide long non-coding RNA is filed under the name Equus caballus (horse). RNAcentral's name for it is "lncRNA (ENSECAG00000052815.1)". Lineage: Eukaryota; Metazoa; Chordata; Mammalia; Perissodactyla; Equidae. The record is from RNAcentral.